RNAcentral lists this ribosomal RNA (461 nucleotides) under uncultured bacterium. Its description in RNAcentral is "bacterial SSU rRNA". It matches the Rfam family "Bacterial small subunit ribosomal RNA", at positions 917 to 1382 of the family's 1533-position model. The record is from RNAcentral.
GGACCCGCACAAGCGGUGGAUGAUGUGGAUUAAUUCGAUGCAACGCGAACAACCUUACCUACCCUUGACAUGUCCGGGAGCCUGCUGAGAGGCGGGUGUGCCUGAAAGGGAACCGGAACACAGGUGCUGCAUGGCUGUCGUCAGCUCGUGUCGUGAGAUGUUGGGUUAAGUCCCGCAACGAGCGCAACCCUUGUCCCUAGUUGCUACGCAAGGGCACUCUAGGGAGACUGCCGGUGACAAACCGGAGGAAGGUGGGGAUGACGUCAAGUCCUCAUGGCCCUUAUGGGUAGGGCUUCACACGUCAUACAAUGGCCGGUACAGAGGGUUGCCAACCCGCGAGGGGGAGCCAAUCCCAGAAAGCCGGUCGUAGUCCGGAUUGCAGUCUGCAACUCGACUGCAUGAAGUCGGAAUCGCUAGUAAUCGCGGAUCAGCAUGUCGCGGUGAAUACGUUCCCGGGUCUU